Molecule: ribosomal RNA, 492 nt
Filed under: uncultured bacterium
Lineage: Bacteria
Description: partial 16S ribosomal RNA
Rfam family: Bacterial small subunit ribosomal RNA
Source: RNAcentral
AGUGAACGCUGGCGGUAGGCCUAACACAUGCAAGUCGAACGGCAGCACAGUAAGAGCUUGCUCUUACGGGUGGCGAGUGGCGGACGGGUGAGGAAUACAUCGGAAUCUACUUUUUCGUGGGGGAUAACGUAGGGAAACUUACGCUAAUACCGCAUACGACCUACGGGUGAAAGCAGGGGAUCUUCGGACCUUGCGCGAUUGAAUGAGCCGAUGUCGGAUUAGCUAGUUGGCGGGGUAAAGGCCCACCAAGGCGACGAUCCGUAGCUGGUCUGAGAGGAUGAACAGCAACAGUGGAACUGAGACACGUUCAAACCCCCGAGGGGAGGAGCGAGGGGGAAAUAUUGAAAAGUGGGCGAAAGCUUGAACCAACAAUCCCGGGGGGGGAAAGAGGGCUUUGGGGUGUAAAACCCUUUUUGUGGGAAAAAAAAAGCAGCAGUUAAAUACCCCGCUGUUCGGAGGGACCAAAAAAAAUAAGCACCGGCUAAUUUCGUG